GGCUCAGAACGAACGCUGGUGGCGUGUCUUAUACAUGCAAGUCGAGCGAGGCAGCAAUGCCGAGCGGCGAACGGGUGAGUAACGCGUAAGCAAUCCUGCCCCCAUAGUCAGGAAAUACCCGUGCCAACGCGCGGUUAAUGUCCAGGAGAGUGGCCCUCUGCAUGGAGGGUUGACUAGAGAUUUAUCGGUAUGGGAUGAGCUUGCGUCCGAUUAGCUAGUGGCGGGGCAACGGCCCACCAAGGCGACGAUCGGUAGCCGGCCUGAGAGGGUGAUCGGCCACAUUGGGACUGAGAUACGGCCCAGACUCCUACGGGAGGCAGCAGUAGGGAAUAUUGCACAAUGGGGGAAACCCUGAUGCAGCAACGCCACGUGUGGGAAGAAGCAUUUCGGUGUGUAAACCACUGUCAUGAGGGAAUAAGGCCCGCCUUCGGGCGGAUUGAAUGUACCUUGAGAGGAAGCACCGGCAAACUUCGUGCCAGCCGCGGC
RNAcentral lists this ribosomal RNA (486 nucleotides) under uncultured bacterium. RNAcentral describes it as "bacterial SSU rRNA". It matches the Rfam family "Bacterial small subunit ribosomal RNA", at positions 21 to 518 of the family's 1533-position model. The record is from RNAcentral.